Long non-coding RNA from Cyanistes caeruleus (blue tit), 6041 nucleotides. RefSeq lists it as uncharacterized. The record is from RefSeq and is a predicted model, not a curated record. Lineage: Eukaryota; Metazoa; Chordata; Aves; Passeriformes; Paridae.
GCUGUGGGGAAACAGCCCCAAAAGGUGACAGCCUUGCACAGGAGGUGAUGUUGGGAGAUGAAAUGUGUCUGCAAAUGUUUCUCUGUGAGGCAGAGAAAUGGUUGUGACUCGGGAAAGCCGCGGAUGUGUUUGUGAUCAGAGGCAGGCCGCGCAUUUCUGCCGCCCACCACACCUUCAGCCAGACAGGAACAAAGGGAAGAACACUCCUCUAACUCCCCAAAUCCUCAGCUCUGCCAGGUGGAGGCUUCUGAUGAGGAGGAAGAUUUUCUCAUUUUCAGACAAGGGCUUCUGUAUUUCCAUUUCAACCACUGUCAACACCACAUUGGAACUGGACCUGCCAUGGCCACCCAGCUGGAAGGUGUGGAGUUUCCACCCCAUCAUCUCCCCUGAGAGUGGCUGAAGUCUCCAUCCAGAGGCAGAGGAGAGCAAAGGCUUUGUCCUAAGGAACAGCUGAUAAAGUCUUUUAAAAGAUUCCUCCGGAAACCAACCCUGCUCGGUAGGAAGGCUGAGCGAGCUUGCAGUGAGAAAUCCAUUUAGAAAGCCAGGUUUGGAGAGCAGCCAGGGAGAGAUAAUGGUACCACUUGCCCCCAGACCCCGUCAGCGCUGCACAAUUCCCUGAGCAGGGUUUGCCGACUGCUUCGGAUCAAUCCGUUGAUCAAAAGCGAUGUCAGCUUCUUGCACUACACGCAGCCUCCUGGGCAUCCCCUCAUCCCUUCCUAACCUGGGCUUCCAAGGACUCAGAUGAAUAAAAUUUGGGUAGAGAGUAGAUGGGAUUUUUUUUUUUUGUUUUUGUUUUAGAAAUUAAUGUUUUAUACGUGGAAGUGAUUUCUGUGAAUCCCACCCGGUUCUUUGUUCCCACAAACUCACUUUCCUCGUUGCUUCAAACACUCCAUAUUCCAGUAACCAGUUUUUCAAACCUUCUAACAGGUGCUAGUACAUCAUGUUCCCUCUCUGUCAUUUCUCAUUGUCAUCUCAUAUCGUUCAUCAAAGGAUGAGAGGGAACAUUGUCUGCAGGCCAAGGAAAUCAUCCAAUCUAACCCUGCCCCAGCUAAUGUGUCACUUUUGGCCUCAGGAAAAUCACAUCAUCAGGAGGUGACAGAAGUGGCCUGGCAUUCUGAGUUUCUCAAUUUUUUCUGAAUGCCUGUCACAUUUUAAAAAGCUAGUCCUAGCUCAGCUGCCUCCCCCUUGCAAAUGGAGAUCCUGAAAGCUCCCUGGAUCACGAGAGAGAGUUAAUAUUUGUUCAGUGCUUUCAAAAUGUUAAGUGCAACAUGAGUGCUGAGCCUUAUUACCAGAAAUAAUGGAUGUUUGCAACUCCAGCCUGCGCUCUUCUGUGUAAUCAUUAUUCUAAUAAGUAACAGCUUUACCAGAAUAUAGUCCCAGAAAACAUCUUUGGAAAAUGCUCUUCACUUUUCCUGUGAGCUUGAACACAGAUUUAAAAUCACAGAUCUGUUGGAGUUGAUAUAGUUAAACUUUAUUGACUUUCUGGGAAUGAUUCAUCCCUGACUUGUUACAUCCAGAUUUUUGUUUCAUCAGUUUUAUUCGUAUUUGUCAGAAAGUUUUGUAAACUGAGUUCGUAAUCUCAUUUUGAGUGUAGAUAUCAAAUAUAUGAAAAAUAUACCAGUAAACACCAAUGAAAAUACCCCACAACCACAUAAAACCUCGUACUCUUGGUUAUUCCCAGGUGUUGCAAAGAGGAGCUUCCCACAACAGUGAAGUCUAAGUUGACUUUUAUUUUAUAUUACUUUGUACAACCCUUUCCCUCAGCUGCUUUGGGCUUGACUGUAAAAUUUGCCAAGAUAUCCCUGAGUCUGUUUAUAAGAAUUAAAGCCCCGUUUGUGCAAGGAGCUGCUAAAAAAUUAACUUGUGUGUGCUUCUGGAGUUAACAUUCACAUGAGUGAGGGGAUCUUCCACCUGUUAGCAAGUACUUUAGCUGGGAAUAAAAAAAGCUUAGAUUUGAUGAAAUUUCUGGCUGCAGAGAGUUGGUGAAACCUGCAAUGACCAAGAAGAUUUCAGCUGCCUCAGUCCUGCAGGAAUGAAGACCAUGGGAAGGGUGAGGGGUAAAAAAAAACCUGUGGGGAAAGAGCUCAUGAGUCGAUGUCCAAGACAUCACAAAAAAUAUCCUUAAGGUGAUGCCUGAGAUUGUUUUUGACAGAAGAUCUGCUCUUCAUGUAAAUGGUGUUUAUUCAGAGCACACAGAGAUAGCACUGACCCAUCACAAAAUCUCACUGCACUUUCCCCCUGAAGAAUGUAAAACCUCACACUCCGGCAUGGUCAGAAAUCAGAUUUCCCCCUUUUGUAGACAUUUAUUGUGGAAUUGUAAAGCAGUUUUUAUUACAGAGCACAGGAUGAAAUAGCAGGGUAUAAACUAAGCUGCAUCCAUAAUAAUCCCAUCCUUCCAAAAACACAUCACUUUGGGAAGCCCUGUGCGUUUGUAAAGAGUACCUGGGAGAUGGUCACACAUCUCCAUGUAAACAUCCAACCCCUCUGAAGAUUCCUUGUGUGUUCUAUCAUUUUCAGCAAGUCUGAAAGAACAUAAUUUAGAACACAAUCCCUUUCUUGAUAUACAGCCAAGCCCCAUGUUUUAGGCUGAAAGAUAAACAGUUUAAUAAAAUAAUAUUACUUAAUAAAUUAGUAUGUUCAGCUCCUUUCUGGACUUCUCUCUGAAAGAAAUAAUUAAUCACCCUCUAAAUCCCUAAUAGCCCCAUAAUCUCUGAAUAUAAAAAUUCAAAUGCAAGAAGGCAGAAACUGCUGAUGGAGCCAGCAGGAUGGAAGGAGAGAGGCUCUUUUUAACCCUUCUCAAAGACUCUAAACCAGUGCAAUGACUGAAGUGUUCAUCCCAAGAGCUAAAUAAACUCAAAUGUUGCCGUUGAACACUUCUGCUGGCAAAUUAAGCCCUGCAGGGGCAUCCCAGGUGUCAUCCUGCUGGAAGAAAAGCCCAAGACACACCCAGAGAACCAAAAUGCUUCUACGAAAGUGAGAGGAAGAGGAAAGAUUACUGAGCAGCCUUCACAAACACAGAACUUCCCUGCAGCUCUUGUCAAACUUGGUGCAGGUUUGUAAAUGACACACCUUGGCUGACAGGAGCCAACAGGAAUGUCAAAGGAAAUGAAGUUUUGGCUUAUUAAUUCUUCCUGAAAGUGGUCCACUUUCAACUGCAAGAGACCCCCAAGUUAAUCAGACAUUUAAUAGGUAUCUGCAAAGCCAAGGCUGAAGUAAUUUCUGUAGCACAAACUCAUAAAUUUAAUUUUAUAUCCAUUCUGAUUCAUUGCAAUACAUUGUAAACCAGAGCAAUUAUUAAAAGCCUCUUCCCACCAGGUGUAAAAAACUCUUAUUUUGUGUACACCCAAACAUGGAACAUGCAGCCAGUCACAGACACAGAGGUCAUUCACCCCUCAUGGAAAUUACAGCAAAAAUGGAUGAUCAGCAGCUGGAAUAGAAGACAUAACAUUUCCAACAGAAUAUAUUUAGUGCAAACAGAAAAGCCAAAAAGUGAUUACAUUAUUUUUUUGUAAGUCCACCCAUCUCCUCCUGGGAGGAAUACUUCCAAGAAGAAUCCGCACUGUGGGUGUACAAGAACCACUUAUGUGUUUUGUGUGAAAAUGCUGAAUUUACCUACAAGGCCUGUCAAUGGAAUGAAAUUACUACAAAAACCUGCGAUAUUUAACUGAGAUGGAACAAACAUUCCCCUGGUGUAGUCAUCUGCAAUAACCAUGAAACAAAUCUGGAUCAUAUCUGUGCAUUUAUGGAAUAUCUCUUUUUUAUUGCAAAUCUGUCUCAAGCAGGGCAGCAGCUCUGUUUCCAUUCAUCCUUUUGAAAGAUGCAGUGACAAGAAUUCCAAACAUCACUCAUGGCCAAACACUGCAUUUGGAUUUCGUGGAACUAAGAAAUGAAAAAGAAUGUUCCUUUUCUCCAAGAGAACUGUCUCCAAUUCUGUGUGAUGCAUUAAAAAAAUCAGAUGAGAACCCCAAGAGUUGACAUAAGGAUAUGAUAAAACUUUUAGGUUUUGUGGAAAGAAACAUUUUUCAGUUUCCUCUUAAUAAAUGAAAAACACACAUGCACAGUGUGAAGAAAUAUAUUAUGCCUAAGCAUGUAAAAUAUGUCAGCUUGAACAUUUUACAGUUUAAUGAAAAAUGCUUUUUUCAGGACAGUUUGUAUUACAUUUGCCAGAGAAGAAAUAAAAAUCUUUUAUUUUCUCCAUGUCACAGUCCAAAAAUUACCAUUUUUUCCCUAGCUGUAAAACCCCAGCAUUGGGAUAUUUAUGCAUUGUGAAUUAGAAGCAUUUUUUACCGGCUAUCAAAAUUUUAAUAGCAUUAGCUCUGCUUGUAACACAUUUUCAUUAAAAUGAGAAUGUGGAAAGCAGUAAAAUGAAUACAGACCCUCAUCAGUAGCAAUGAGGCUUUAUGGUGCUCACGGGAUCAGCUGUGUUAUAUUUGUUACAGAUCAUGAUCAGACAACAGGACAAACCUCUUCUUUUUCACUGACAUCAACAUAAAUGGUGCUAUUGAAUGGAUUUAAUAUGUAGAAGUUAUAAGUAAUUCUUUAACUUUCAUUUUAUUGAGCCUGGUGCUUCCUGCCUUAGGCUUGUACUUGAUCUUUGGUGUCCAUAUAAUUCCCAUUUAGUGCAGAUAUAGAGGUAAGCUGGGACUAAGGAGUGCCAAUUUUGGGGAGAAUUUAAUUUAACUCUUGGUUAACACCUGGAGAAAGCGUGGCAGCAGCACAUUUCUCAUGAAGGGAGGAAACAGCAGUGCACUCUUGGCCUCUCUCAAAACAGAAACAAGCACAUUUCAACUUUGAACCUUGAGGCCCAAAAAUGCCAGAAUGCAGCAACAACUCAUUUAUUAACUAAUUACAGGUUUAAAUUAACAUCAGCAUCCUGCUUUGUGUCUCCUGCCACCACAGUUCCAAGGAAGUGAUUCCUGGUUAUCAGUGAUGUAAAUGAGAAGUCAAUCAGCUUCCAGAUUUACAGAUUGUUCCAGUAAUAGCCUCAAAAACCCCCAAAGCACCUGAGGCCUGAGCAGCUCUGGCAGUUUUGCUGCAUAUAUUUAGGAGCACCACUAAAGCACUUGUACAAAAGGGCGUAAUGUCCAUAGCUGGAAAUAAAUAUUAUUGCUUUUCACUUUCCCUGGUGUGGAAAAGCAAAGGUGACUACAGGCACAGAGUGAGCACCUCCAGUAUUUCAGUCGAUUCACUUUGAUUUCCCUUACAAAAAUAAAGGUGUGAAAUCAAAGAGCUCCCCUGUAAGUUUUCUCUGGGAAGGCUCUGGAUCAUUGAUCCAUCAGUGCAGGAUAAUGAGGACAAGCCAUGACUUUGAAAACCUUUUGAUGUCCUCACUCCUGGGCAGAAUGAACAAAGGUGAGGGAGCUUGGCUCCAUCACAAGCUCUUGGGAUUCCGCAGGACAGCUACAAUAAAACCUAGAUUAGUUUGAACAUGUUGGUGAUGUCCUGGGAAACUCAUCCCAAGGGUGGGCAAAGGGAAGGGACAGCCAAAGAGGAGCAGACUCACUCAGGGCUCUGAGUACUUGAUCUCAAAACCUGACAGCAAAAAUGCUGUUGCAGAAACUGAUUCUUUGCCAUCCACACAACACAAGAAAAUAAGGAGAAAAAAAGAUUCAACCCUGGAUCUAUUUUAAUCCUUAAAUUUGUGCUACAGGGCUUCCCCUUUGGCAGAGGACUAAUCCUACCAAAUGACAGCCAGUCAGUCAUUUCACUUCUCUUUAUUCCUUUUAUUCCUCUGCUUUUUCUUGACUUUUACACAUUUUAUUUUCUGCUUCCUAAAGGCUUUUAGUUUUAUUUCUUUUUUUUUAAUCAUGGUCCUGGAUGUCUCCACAAGUACAGGGAUUAGAGACAGGAAGUUAAUUUCCCUUGCUCGUUCUUUUGUAAUAAUUUAUUCCAAAAUUAAUUACCCAGGAUAUAUUAGAUUUGGACAAGAUUUUGGACUUAGACCUAGAAAUCAGAAAGUUUAUAAUUUUUAUACUCUAAGCCCUGUGCAGCCUAGCCUUGGACAUUUCCAGGGAUCCAGGGCCUUACAGCCAGGAAUUCCU